This 447-nucleotide ribosomal RNA is filed under the name uncultured bacterium. Its description in RNAcentral is "bacterial SSU rRNA". It matches the Rfam family "Bacterial small subunit ribosomal RNA", at positions 331 to 792 of the family's 1533-position model. The record is from RNAcentral.
CCAGACUCCUACGGGAGGCAGCAGUGGGGAAUAUUGGGCAAUGGAGGCAACUCUUACCCAGCAAUGCCGCGUGAAUGAAGAAGGUCUUCGGAUUGUAAAGUUCUUUAAUUGGGGACGAAAAAAAUGACGGUACCCAAGGAAUAAGCCCCGGCUAACUACGUGCCAGCAGCCGCGGUAAUACGUAGGGGGCAAGCGUUGUUCGGAUUUACUGGGUGUAAAGGGCGUGCAGCCGGGAGUGCAAGUCAGAUGUGAAAUCCCGCGGCUCAACCGCGGAACUGCAUUUGAAACUGUGCUUCUUGAGUGCUGGAGAGGCAGACGGAAUUCCUAGUGUAGCGGUGAAAUGCGUAGAUAUUAGGAGGAACACCAGUGGCGAAGGCGGUCUGCUGGACAGCAACUGACGCUGAGGCGCGAAAGCGUGGGGAGCAAACAGGAUUAGAUACCCGGGUA